CGCACAUAAGACAUGCAAGUCGAACGAGAAUCGUUAAAAACGGAUUAGAAGAUUAUCAGAUUGAAGUUUUAACAAUGGUUCUAGUGGCGGACUGGUGAGUAACACGUAAGCAACCUGCCUAUUAGAGGGGGAAUAACAGUGAGAAAUCAUUGCUAAUACCGCAUAUGCUCACAGUACCACAUGGUACAGUGAGGAAAGGAGUAAUCCGCUAAUAGAUGGGCUUGCGUCUGAUUAGAUAGUUGGUGGGGUAACGGCCUACCAAGUCAACGAUCAGUAGCCGGACUGAGAGGUUGAACGGCCACAUUGGGACUGAGAUACGGCCCAGACUCCUACGGGAGGCAGCAGUCGGGAAUAUUGCGCAAUGGAGGAAACUCUGACGCAGUGACGCCGCGUGCAGGAAGAAGGUUUUCGGAUUGUAAACUGCUUUAGUCAAGGAAGAUACAAGACAGUACUUGAAGAAUAAGCACCGGCUAACUAUGUGCCAGCCGCAGC
RNAcentral lists this ribosomal RNA (492 nucleotides) under uncultured bacterium. RNAcentral's name for it is "bacterial SSU rRNA". It matches the Rfam family "Bacterial small subunit ribosomal RNA", at positions 43 to 518 of the family's 1533-position model. The record is from RNAcentral.